RNAcentral lists this long non-coding RNA (2189 nucleotides) under Lytechinus variegatus (green sea urchin). RNAcentral's name for it is "uncharacterized LOC121419352, transcript variant X1". The record is from RNAcentral. Lineage: Eukaryota; Metazoa; Echinodermata; Echinoidea; Temnopleuroida; Toxopneustidae.
UCUUUCUGCAACGGACCCCAGACCAGUAACAUAACAAAGAAAAAAAUACGAGACACGAUACACAAACGCACCCUUACACACACACCAUGGACCUCUAUGUCCAGCACACAAAACACACACAGGACCUGUCCAGCAUUUACACCCUAUGCCGCCCUAUGGCUAUGCCUACGGCCAGUGCAAGAAAUUUGAUUUCGCAAUCAAUCGCACAUGUGUGUUGUUUGUACACAAAGCUGACGCUGAGCACGUGUGUAAUUCUACCACACAUCUCGAACAGUCGAACUACACAUUUGCAAUGUGAACUUAAUUUAAACGAAGAAGAAUUUCCGAUGGCGACGAAGCGCGACAGCUUUUCAAAGCUCUCUAUUUUACAGAAGAGGAAAAUGCUGCAACAAAUGAAGAGGCCACCAGUCUACUACGAGCCGGAGUACGGCUCCAGGCCAGCGCCAGGCCCAGUCCCACUCUCAGUCUGAUUAUUGAGUCGAGUUUUGGCGAUUUGACAUCAGCUACGGGUUCGAAGAUUGCAGCAAGCAACGACGUUGUGUUCGAGCAGAUCCCGUUGGUGCAGAGAGAGGUGGAACUUGAAGUGUUCAGUGAAAGCAGUGUUGUUCAAAGAGAGAAAGUACAUCCAUGUACACUACAACAUGAACCCCAUGCAAGUGAAGUUGAGAUUCAAGCAGAUCAACCCUGAGGAAGAAAACGUCAGAUGGUAUGUUUUGCUGACAUAGAGACAGAGUCUGACUCCUCUCAUUGCUCUGAAGCUGUAUCAUGUACGUGUAGAAGGAACUUCAGCAAAAAGCGAAAUGCAGCCUGUCUGGAAUUAGCGGCAAUACUGAGAAUGAAAUGCUGCAGAAGUUAUUGUCUUCAUAAGAUAUAAAGAAUAGAUGCAAGGCCCGCAGAGGAUUUCAGAACAAGACUCUAGCAGAUCAGAGGCUAUGGAUUUUGCAGUACCUUAUUGAACAUCACAACUUUGUAAACAUGGAUGGAGACUCAUCCUUGGGAUUACUAUGACCCGCUUAUGGAAGAUGGAGUCAGGGUUAGCAGAAGGAUUGGUGACAUCUCGUCCAUCAAAUCACCAUCGUAAAGGACUUUGUUCUUUGUCUGUGAUGAUGUCAAUGGUGUGGCUUAGUGAAUUUGUCGAUAAGUUUGGAGAGAAACUGCCAACCAACAACAAAAUCCAUCUUCUUCAUGCCUUAUACAUGGAAAUGUGUAUCGGAUUAUGAAGGAGGAUGUAGAAGAGCAAGGAGGUUCUGUUUGUAGUCAGCAAUACUUCUUCCGCAAAUGGAGAAUGGAAAUGUCUCAUGUUACCAUUCCAAAGGUGAACCGGUUUUUGAAAUGCGACAUAUGCACCAAACUGAAAUCUUGCCUAGAGAAGACAACUGGCAGAGAAGAGAGACAAACUUUACUGCAAGAAAGAGAGUCACACCUUUUCCAGCAAAAGUCCAUCUAGGUACUAAGCAGAAAAGGCCUCAACAUCCAUUAUUAAAACUGGGAGAUACGGUUGCAGUCUACUUAGAAGAGUUCAGUAAUGAAUGGCCGCGAGUGAGCAAAGUGUUAAAAAUGACUGGAGACAGUGUGAAGCUGCAUUAGUACUCGGGAUCAGAAACGUCCACGUGGAUAUCGCCUACCACAUCAGUUCGAGGACAGAAGGGUCAGCCGUACACGGGAGAAGUCUCUCUUCAAGAAGUCAUUUCUUUCCCCUACAGUCUCACUAAAACAAACAAAUUACCAUAGGAUAUCCAGCGUCACGUGAAGAAUACUUUGCAUGUUAGGUCUGUAUGAACAUACACUGUAUUCAUACCAAUUUGGAAUGAGUUUGUUUGUCCAGGACUCAAAAGCUGUAUGUCUAUAUGGAAGCCACUUGAAUUAUGUGUUUUUGUGAUAUUACAAUGUACCUAUAUUUUUCCACAUUGGAUAUGGGGAUAAUUUCCAGGGUGUAUCUUCACAUGAGUUUGAUCACCUACAUGUAUCUACAUUUAGAAGAGAUAAAUGCACAAUGAUUGAUAGAGAGUUGGUACCUGAAGUAGGUAAUGAUUUAACUCUAAAUAGACUGGGCUAUUUCUACGCCUAAGAAGACUGGGGGGGGGGCUGAUUCAGCCCCCCUUAUGAUCUCAGCGGUCGAUCGCGCAAUCGCGACAAAAAUUGGCACACGCAUUACCCAUGGCAUUAUCUACAAGACUAUAACAUCAAAU